CCUCCGAGCAAAAGAUGACAUAAAAGGUUCAUCGAUCGCGGAGUCAAAACAAGUCACAAUCUAAACUAUCGACUGCUAGGCUGACUGAGAACGUAUUUGAGACGUAUUAUAUACCUUGCGUAGUAAAAUAAAGCAUAGAAAGUAAUCUCUCUUUCACUCUAGUGUCAAAAAUUCGUCGAAAUCACCGUGCUCCUUUUAACAUACGGCACGCCGGCUUAGUUAUCUCUUGUCGACCGCCUGUCGCUUGUAAAAAUCAAGAAUCUCACGUAACCUCAUGCAAGCAAAAACUUUCAACAACUGUAGGUACACUAGAAAGUCAACAGAGUGAUAGAUAUAUAGGCCAGUUCAAAGAUGAAAAUGGCGGCGAAAAAGGAAGAAAUUAUUUACAGAGGGAAGUCAGGCGGAAACGGAUAUUUCCGAAGAGGGGAAACACGUAUUGAAGAGAUUGAAGAUCCCUGUCAUCUCCGUUUCGUUUUCAAGUUGAUCCUAUACAAUCCUCUUCCUCUCGAUCGUUUUGCCUGUUAGCUUCCACCUAGGUGCUUGGAAUGCCAGCUUUUAUAGAUCAACAAUAAAUGUCCCAUGAGGGAAUCGACGCCUUUAUGAUGUUCAUGAGCUUUUCUCUUUCCCACAUGUUCGAAGAUGAGCCUGGAUGAGCCGUCAAAGCCGCGUUAUGUACAGUGUCAGCAGAAUCGCGAACUUAUCCGGAUGUAUUUCGCGAUGUUACAUCGUUAAAAAAAAUCAAAUGCUACUCAGAGAACACGUUUGCGAGUUAUCUCGCGUUUCGCUUUUACGCUCUUAUAUGUCAUAUGUGUAUACUCGAUAUAAGCCUUAAUUGCUCGCUCACAAUUACCGACGCCCUAAAACUUUAAUAC
Long non-coding RNA from Trachymyrmex septentrionalis, 872 nucleotides. RefSeq lists it as uncharacterized. The transcript has 3 exons. Lineage: Eukaryota; Metazoa; Arthropoda; Insecta; Hymenoptera; Formicidae. The record is from RefSeq and is a predicted model, not a curated record.